CCUACGGGAGGCAGCAGUGGGGGAUAUUGCACAAUGGGGGGAACCCUGAUGCAGCGACGCCGCGUGGGUGAAGAAGCGCCUCGGCGCGUAAAGCCCCGUCAGCAGGGAAGAAAAUGACGGUACCUGAAGAAGAAGCCCCGGCUAACUACGUGCCAGCAGCCGCGGUAAUACGUAGGGGGCCAGCGUUAUCCGGAUUUACUGGGGUGAAAGGGGGCGCAGACGGGGAUGCAAGACACGCGUGAAAGCCCGGGGCCCAACCCCGGGACUGCUGUUGGCAAUGCGUGGCGGGAGUGCAGGAGGGGCAGGCGGAAUUCCUGGUGUAGCGGUGAAAUGCGUAGAUAUCAGGAGGAACACCGGUGGCGAAGGCGGCCUGCUGGACUGCAACUGACGUUGAGGCCCGAAAGCGUGGGGAGCAAACAGGAUUAGAUACCCGGGUAGUC
Molecule: ribosomal RNA, 440 nt
Filed under: uncultured bacterium
Lineage: Bacteria
Description: partial 16S ribosomal RNA
Rfam family: Bacterial small subunit ribosomal RNA
Source: RNAcentral